Molecule: long non-coding RNA, 4921 nt
Organism: Salvelinus fontinalis (brook trout)
Lineage: Eukaryota; Metazoa; Chordata; Actinopteri; Salmoniformes; Salmonidae
Exons: 3
Source: RefSeq, a predicted model, not a curated record
AGAAGCGCUGCUCAGCAUCCUGGAACUUUUGGUCCAGGAUGGACACCAUCUUCCUCAGCACCUUCAUGAUCAUGUAGUUGUUCAGGACGCUGCACAGGUUAUCAGCCGGUCCUGGCACCGUUCCAUCAGAGCCAGAUUGAAGCACCUGCGGUGGACGAAUGGUUUCGGCGCUCGGAAGAAACAUGUGAUGCUGCCCAUGUGCGCCUGCAAUGGGCCAUCAGGCGGCAGAAGGCGAGCGCCGACCGGCACCACAGUGAGGCCCGGUGCAUCGGGUCUGGCUCUCAACCCGAAACCUACCCCUUCGCCUGCCCUGCCGGAAGCUGGGUCCGCGGUAAUGUGGGGCCAUUUAAAGUCCUGAGGAGACUGAACGAGGUUUGUUAUAGGUUACAGCUCCCUCCUGAUUACCGUAUUAACCCCUCGUUCCAUGUGUCUCUCCUCAGGCCGGUGGUGGCUGGUCCGCUCCAGCAGUCUGAGGUGCGGGAGGUUCCUCCACCCCCUCGAUGUCCACAUCGAGGGGGCCCUGGCGUAUACUGUGCGAGCCAUCAUGGACUCAAGGCGUCGGGCGAGGGGCCUUCAGUACCUCGUGGAGUGGGAGGGGUACGGUCCAGAGGAGAGAUGCUGGGUGCCGGUGGAGGACAUCCUGGACCCUUCCUUACUGCAGGAAUUUCACCGUCUCCACCUGGAUCGUCCUGCGCCUCGUCCUCCAGGUCGUCCCCGAGGCGUCACCGGCUUUCUAGCCUCCACCAAUCUACAUUUCUUUUUCCAUUUGUUUUGUCUGUAUUGUACAACCCGGUUCCCAUUACGUUUUAUUAUUUCCCUAUUUAACCCUCUGGAGCCAUCAUGGUUUUGUGCGUGUUUAUUGUUGUCAGUUGUCUCGUUUAUGUGAUUCUGGAAUUUCGUUCUCCUUGUUGGAAGAUUAUUUUUGAGUAGUUACUAUUAUUACUCAUCUCUGUGUCCUGCGCCUGACUCCGCCUUACCCACAUCACCUAGACUCUGACACCUACACUGUGAAUGUUUAAAUGAUGUAUUCAAUAUGGUCAAGAAAAAUUUAAUAAUUUGUAUGUUAUUAGUUUAAGCACACUAUGUGUGUCUAUUGUUGUGACUUAGAUGAAGAUCAGGUCAAAUUAUAUGACCAAUUUAUGCAGAAAUCCAGGUAAUUCCAAAGAGUUCACAUACUUUUUCUUGCCACUUCAGUUUGCAUAAUGUUUUAUAAUGUCACCUGUGCUGCUCAUAUAAUAUCACUGCUGGACCGAUAUGAAAUCUUACAUAAACCAUAUCAUCCCAAUGGUUACCUUAAUUACAUAGUGCUGUCCAUCACCAUCCAAAUAUGAAUAAUGAGUGGAAGGCAGGGCUAGAAAGUGGUUUUAACCUCUUGUUAGUGCUGGCAAUGAGGUCAGAGACCUUCUGGAGGUAGUCCUUGGCGUACACCACCACAGGCUCUGAGUCAUUGAGGGGUACAGGAGCAAACACAUCUGAGAGGUAGGGCAUCCAGUCCACCGCAGGAGCCAAGGUCUACAGAAACACAAAGAAACAAUGAUACUGUCAACAUAUCUACUGGUGCACCUGUCCUAUCAGAUAUAUAUAUAUAUAUAUAUAUAUAUAUAUUUUGCUUUUUUAAUCAGCAGGUAUGAAUAGAAAGCAGUAAGAAAGACCUUGCAGAAAGCACUGUUAAACCAAAAUACAAUCUAUGCAAAUUGCACUUUCAUUAACACAUCUCAAUCUGGGAGUCAUCUACUGUAGGUUUGUAUCUAGUGAUACUGCAGGUGGAUAUCUGGUGUUGACAUGAUGCUUGGAUCAGCUGAAGCAGUAGAGAGAUGGGUACUGACCGCCAGAUCCUUUGCCUGGAUCUUAUGGUAGAUGAGCUCUUCGUCCCUCCUCUCCUCCUGGGGUACGGUGAUGUUGGCCAGGGUGGUCUCAAAGUCCACAAUCUCCUGCAUCAGCGAUCUGGACGUCUCCUCUGAGCCCCCCAACAGGACCCCUAACUCCACCAGGAAGUCUAGGUACGCAUUCAGAUACUGUCGAGACCAAGUGGGAAGCACAGGGGGAGAAAUGUUGGUUAAAUGAAUUUAAAAACACAAUCCAGCGCUAGGAAAAUACUGACUACUACAAGCACAGAGUUAUCCCUUGAGCUAUACAUUCUUUCUAUAUUAUUUAUACAUGGUCUGUCCAAGUGGGGUACUGUAGGGUUUGUACUGCCGCGGAUAUUUUCUAUUCCUAAUGAAACACAUAUCUAGCGAGAUAGGUUUCUCAGUAUAGUGUACAAAUUUAUAAAGUUAAUUUCCUAAUUUAAUCAGGCAUCUGCAUCAAGGCACUGAUCUAUUUCAUGUCCUCCCUUACCCUGUCUGUCAUCAUGCUACAAUCUUUAAGCAUAUUCACCACAGUGCCAUAGUGCGGCCGCCUGUCAGUACCUUUGCAUUGGCCGUUUUGUUAAGGUAGUAAUCCCGUGAGGGGAGCCCCAGCCCGGAUUGAUCCACCUGUAGGUACGAGGAACAGUUCAUGACUACCAUCUCACACUUCAUUUAAACAUUUCAGCACUCUCAGCAAAGUGAGCCUCUUUCUUUGAUAGUAUAGUAUUGCAGGAUCUACUCUACAGUAUACUGCAGCUUCGAUUAACCUUACAAUUUCUAAUGUCCCUCUGCACAUUUUUUUUUUAAAGAGCAUGUAAAUGUAUAUGUCAAUCCUCUCUGAGCAGAUCUGGGGAUAAGUGAUGUUUGAUGAUUUCUCUGACAAAUGUAAAUAGAAUCAAAAGCUAAAGGAGUGAGGAGGAGGCCUGUGGGAGUAACUGGGCCUACAGCCACUGAGCCUUGGAGCCACUGGGGCCACUGGCUCUUCUCUCACCUGGAUAAUAUUACUGUUGGAGCUUUUGGAGUCAGUGCUGACAAACACAGUGAAGAAUGGGGAGCAGCGGUAGUUGGCCGACACUGUGCGUAGAACCUCCUGGAAAUUGUUUUUGUCCCAGGAGCCGGUUAGGGCCCAUCCCCCCGUCUGAAAGAAAAAAUGUAUGAUCUCCUUCAGAGAGAGGCUCACUUAAAACCUGAGAGGUGGUGAUCCUUUAUAUCAGGGCAUUGGAUACAUUUAGGGUAAUUAACUGUAUAACAUAAAGAACAUUUUACACAUCUAUUAGCACAUCAUAAACAUAGCUUAUAUGUGCAUAGCGCUAUGGCAGAAGACUGGAUGAGGAUGCCUCUUGAUGAGCGAACUCACCUGAUUAAUGAGCUCUUGUAGAGGCUGAGCCCCUAACUCCUCAAUCUUAGUCUCAUUCAUACAGGCCUUGUAAUACCUCUGGGCCUUUUUCUCAGCCUUGCUCAGCCCCUUCAUCGUGGUGUUCUCUGCCAAUCACAACAGGUUUCACAGCUGUUAAGGGUGAGAGGGGCAGCUAAGGACACCCCACCCCCUGAGGAGAAACCUUACCCAGCAGGUGCUUCAUGACGGCCAUGUUGCGCUCCCAUAGGUUGCUGAAGGGACCCCAGCGGGACUUUCCCUCAGGGAGGGGGUUGUUCCUCACCCAUCCCCCACAGGCAAAGUUGUAGAAGUCAUGGCAGGGGUCCACCGAGUGGUCCAGGGCUCCCAUCACAGCACUGGCCACAGUAAUGCAUGGCUCCGUCAGACACAUGCCAGGGUGAGCUGCCAACAGGGAGUGGGACAAGACAACUAAACAUACUGUAUCAGAUAUCUCUUAUCGGCACUGUGCUACUUCAGCCUCAACAUGGACAACACUAUUUAUUUUCUUAAACAGCUAGUAUAUUUCAAGGUCCUUCAAUAAAUAAUUCAAAAUAUGUCACGACAUGGAUGUUUUCAGACCAUCUGGAAAUCAUUGUUUUCAACGGGUUACUGCAAAAAAUAUAUAUAACCUCAAAGAAAAAUUACUUUUCCUCCUCUAAACUCCUACAGAAAUAAACAGUGAAAUAGAGGAGAGAAGGGCUCGAGAGGUUGUGCCACAGACGAGGUCACUGUCAGUCAUUGUCCCACCGUUCCAACAGCUGGUCCUGAUGAACUGCUCUUGCCCCUGGCCUGCACCUGUCACACCUGAAUGUUCUCCACAGGUGCAGUGUAUCAAUCACCCAGCCAGGCCCAUCUCUCUGGGUUCCCUGUCUCAUAGACAAUGUCGAGGCACGGUUGUGGAAAAUUCUCAGCAGGCCAUUGUCCGAUGCUGCCAUUGGUUCUAAGAUGGGCAUUGAUUCGUUGGCUUUGACGUGAUUGCCACACAUUAACUGGCUGUAAAAGCUGAAGUGUAAACGGAUGUUCAUGGAGUAUUCUUUCUCUUUCACUGGACUGAAUAAGGAGAUGGAUAAUACAGUAUUUUAUCAGAAAGUGCUCUGGAAUUUUUAAGGGUCUAGUUGCAAAAGCUGAUUUAUAGCCAAGGGGCAUUUGGCAACUCCCUUUACAUUAUUUUGGGAGAAGAUGUGGAAAACAUCUUUAUAUUUUUAGAGGGAUAAUAAUUCAUGACCCAAAGUCUAGUUAGUGGAUUCUCAUUCUGUCUCGUGUCUAUGUUUGAGGCUAUGUUGUACAUAAGUCUACGUUUCUUUAAGGACAAUAAGUUUAAAAUGUUUUAAUCAAUGAUCAACAUAGACAUGAGACAGAAUGAGAAUGCACUAACUGGACUUUGGGUCAUGAAUAACAGGAGCUGAAUAAAAGGAGUGGAAAGUGAAUGGUGUAGUAAAAGCACAUUCUUGUGUCGGUUCUCAUAACAGUCAGCGGGGGAUUUGUCAUGUGGGCUGAUAGGUGGUUGAAUAGGAGGAAGGGGCAUUUGCUUCCCUUCUCAACAUACAAGGAAACUAAUACUGAGCGGAGAAAAUCUUUCAGUAAAGAUUUGUACCCAGGAACAUUUUGUCAGAUUAUAUGAACAUAAAAGAGGUUGUUUGGUCAAUUCUUCUCAGGAUUAUUUAGCCAAAUCAGGCUUAACAAUCUCAGCCACUCACUC